This 457-nucleotide ribosomal RNA is filed under the name Candida tropicalis. RNAcentral describes it as "eukaryotic LSU rRNA". The stretch from base 99 to 252 matches the Rfam family "5.8S ribosomal RNA". Lineage: Eukaryota; Fungi; Ascomycota; Pichiomycetes; Serinales; Debaryomycetaceae. The record is from RNAcentral.
CAUAUCAAUAAGCGGAGGAAGCUUCCGUAUANGAGAGGAUAUAUCUAAAUAAAAAUUUUUAUUUACAGUCUAACUUGAUUUAUUAUUACAAUAGUCAAAACUUUCAACAACGGAUCUCUUGGUUCUCGCAUCGAUGAAGAACGCAGCGAAAUGCGAUACGUAAUAUGAAUUGCAGAUAUUCGUGAAUCAUCGAAUCUUUGAACGCACAUUGCGCCCUUUGGUAUUCCAAAGGGCAUGCCUGUUUGAGCGUCAUUUCUCCCUCAAACCCCCGGGUUUGGUGUUGAGCAAUACGCUAGGUUUGUUUGAAAGAAUUUAACGUGGAAACUUAUUUUAAGCGACUUAGGUUUAUCCAAAAACGCUUAUUUUGUUAGGGGCCACCACAAUUUAUUUCUUAACUUUGACCUCAAAUCAGGUAGGACUACCCGCUGAACUUAAGCAUAUCAAUAAGCGGAGGAAA